This 484-nucleotide ribosomal RNA is filed under the name uncultured bacterium. Its description in RNAcentral is "partial 16S ribosomal RNA". It matches the Rfam family "Bacterial small subunit ribosomal RNA", at positions 28 to 523 of the family's 1533-position model. The record is from RNAcentral.
GACGAACGCUGGCGGCGUGCUUAACACAUGCAAGUCGAACGAUGAACCCGGAGCUUGCUCCGGUGGAUUAGUGGCGAACGGGUGAGUAACACGUGAGUAACCAGCCCUUGACUCUGGGAUAACUGCGGGAAACUGUAGCUAAUACCGGAUACGACCCUCGGCGGCAUCGCCAGGGGGUGGAAAGAAUUUCGGUCAAGGAUGGACUCGCGGCCUACCAGCUAGUUGGUGAGGUAACGGCUCACCAAGGCGACGACGGGUAGCCGGCCUGAGAGGGUGACCGGCCACACUGGGACUGAGACACGGCCCAGACUCCUACGGGAGGCAGCAGUGGGGAAUAUUGCACAAUGGGCGGAAGCCUGAUGCAGCAGCGCCGCGUGAGGGAUGACGGCCUUCGGGUUGUAAACCUCUUUUAGUAGGGAAGAAGCGAAAGUGACGGUACCUGCAGAAAAAGCACCGGCUAACUACGUGCCAGCCGCCGCAGUAA